CUUGAGCUUUAUAAGAGGUCCAGCCUGCCCAGUGACUCUGUUCAACGGCCGCGGUAUCCUAACCGUGCGAAGGUAGCGUAAUCACUUGUUCUUUAAAUGCGGACUAGUAUGAAUGGCACUACGAGGGUUAUACUGUCUCCUUUUUCUAAUCAGUGAAACUAAUUUUCCCGUGAAGAAGCGGGGAUAUAACUAUAAGACGAGAAGACCCUAUGGAGCUUUAAACAACCCAGCAAUUACUUCUAAAAUUAUAAAUUUCAGAAUAUCCACUUUUUAAGUUAUAUGUCUGCAAGUUUUUGGUUGGGGUGACCAUGGAGUAUAACAUAACCUCCAUAUUGAAUGAAUUCCCUUCUAAGCUAAAAAUUACCAAUUGAAGCAUCAACAUACUGACAUCUAUUGACCCAAUAUAUUUGAUCAACGAACCAAGUUACCCUAGGGAUAACAGCGCAAUCCACUUCAAGAGCCCCUAUCGACAAGUGGGUUUACGACCUCGAUGUUGGAUCAGGGUAUCCCAGUGGCGCAGCC
This 522-nucleotide ribosomal RNA is filed under the name Rhinella martyi group sp. ABGD cluster 21. RNAcentral's name for it is "partial large subunit ribosomal RNA". It matches the Rfam family "Bacterial large subunit ribosomal RNA", at positions 1835 to 2560 of the family's 2925-position model. The record is from RNAcentral. Lineage: Eukaryota; Metazoa; Chordata; Amphibia; Anura; Bufonidae.